GUUGGAUAAAUCGGCAUAGACUAUCUGAUAGUCCUAUUAUUCUUUGUCCAACACUUUUUGUAAAAGAAUAUCUCGAUAUUAAACGCUACAUCUAUUGCAGUCACACUUUUUAGGAGUUGAAUCAUAAAACAUGUAAUAAAUGUGAUAAAGACAACAAUAGUCCACAAAAACACUGCACAGGGACUUAGUAAUCAGCCAUAGUUUCACACCAAGCCAGGGGAAAGAUAAAGGAGGUGAUAAAGAUACCAGACUGACAUUCCAAAUCAGUCGAGAAUAAACGCAAUGUAUAAAAAAAGAACAAAACAGACACUUAAACAUUAGUACAUAAAAACACAGCAUAGAAAAAUUUAAGACUAAACAAUACAAACCCCAC
Molecule: long non-coding RNA, 373 nt
Filed under: Mytilus galloprovincialis (Mediterranean mussel)
Lineage: Eukaryota; Metazoa; Mollusca; Bivalvia; Mytilida; Mytilidae
Source: RNAcentral